UGCUGAUGGGUUAGCUAACUAUGC
This 24-nucleotide non-coding RNA is filed under the name Arabidopsis thaliana (thale cress). The record is from RNAcentral. Lineage: Eukaryota; Viridiplantae; Streptophyta; Magnoliopsida; Brassicales; Brassicaceae.